GACGAACGCUGGCGGCGUGCUUAACACAUGCAAGUCGAACGGCAAGGCCCUGCUUUUGUGGGCUGCUCGAGUGGCGAACGGGUGAGUAUCACGUGUGUAACCUGCCCUUGUCUUUCGGAUAACUUCAGGAAACUGGGCCUAAUACCGGAUAGGAGCUCCUGUUGCAGUGUGGGGGUUGGAAAUUUUCGGCGGGUGGGGAUGGACGCGCGGCUUAUCAGCUUGUUGGUGGGGUAGGGGCUUACCAAGGCUUUGACGGGUAGCCGGCCUGAGAGGGUGACCGGCCACAGUGGGACUGAGGUACGGCCCAGACUGCUACGGGAGGCAGCAGUGGGGAAUAUUGCACAAUGGGACGAAGCCUGAGGCAGAAACGCCGCGUGCGGGAUGACGGCCUUUGGGUUGUAAACAGCAUUAGCCUGUGACGAAGCGUGAGUGACGGUACUGGGUAAAGAAGCACCGGCUAACUACGUG
RNAcentral lists this ribosomal RNA (468 nucleotides) under uncultured bacterium. Its description in RNAcentral is "partial 16S ribosomal RNA". It matches the Rfam family "Bacterial small subunit ribosomal RNA", at positions 28 to 507 of the family's 1533-position model. The record is from RNAcentral.